ACCUGAUCCAGCCAUGCCGCGUGAGUGAAGAAGGCCUUCGGGUUGUAAAGCUCUUUCGGCGGGGAAGAAAUUGCACGGGUUAAUACCCUGUGUAGAUGACGGUACCCGAAUAAGAAGCACCGGCUAACUACGUGCCAGCAGCCGCGGUAAUACGUAGGGUGCGAGCGUUAAUCGGAAUUACUGGGCGUAAAGCGUGCGCAGGCGGUUUGGUAAGUCAGAUGUGAAAUCCCCGGGCUCAACCUGGGAACUGCAUUUGAGACUGCCAGGCUGGAGUUUGGCAGAGGGGGGUGGAAUUCCACGUGUAGCAGUGAAAUGCGUAGAGAUGUGGAGGAACACCGAUGGCGAAGGCAGCCCCCUGGGCCAAUACUGACGCUCAUGCACGAAAGCGUGGGGAGCAAACAGGAUUAGAUACCCUGGUAGUCCACGCCCUAAACGAUGUCAACUAGGUGUUGGGAGGGUUAAACCUUUUAGUGCCGUAGCUAACGCGUGAAGUUGACCGCCUGGGGAGUACGGCCGCAAGGCUAAAACUCAAAGGAAUUGACGG
Molecule: ribosomal RNA, 544 nt
Filed under: uncultured bacterium
Lineage: Bacteria
Description: bacterial SSU rRNA
Rfam family: Bacterial small subunit ribosomal RNA
Source: RNAcentral